Molecule: ribosomal RNA, 308 nt
Filed under: uncultured bacterium
Lineage: Bacteria
Description: bacterial SSU rRNA
Rfam family: Bacterial small subunit ribosomal RNA
Source: RNAcentral
GACGAACGCUGGCGGUGUGCUUAACACAUGCAAGUCGAACGAAGUAUUAAAGCUUGCUUUGAUACUUAGUGGCGGACGGGUGAGUAACGCGUGAGUAAUCUGCCUCAUUCAGGGGGAUAACACAGAGAAAUUUGUGCUAAUACCGCAUAAGACUACGGAAAGGCAUCUUUUUGUAGUAAAAGAUUUUAUCGGAAUGAGAUGAGCUCGCGUCCUAUUAGGCAGUUGGCGGGGUAACGGCCCACCAAACCGACGAUAGGUAGCCGACCUGAGAGGGUGAUCGGCCACAUUGGAACCGAGACACGGUCCAA